AGGAGCCCGACCUAGACACUCUCUUUAGCCUACACAUGCCAGACUCUCCCUUUAGAGGAAAAAGGGACUUCUCACCAAGCCACACCCCUUGAAACUGCUUCCUCGGGUGCACCUGGAGUGUUCUCACUCCUCGGCCCCAGUUCCCACUCACACUUCCUGGAGCUGGAGGAGGGGGCAAGAGGGUGAUGCGUCAUAAGCCUGCAUGGACAUUGUCACUGAAAUGAAAGCUCAGCUUCCAGGGUCCGGAGACGGCUUUGGCCCCAAGGUGCCAGGGACAGCAUAAGCUGCCGGGACCUGGCGAGGCCCAGGGGGCGAGCCUUCGGGCAACAUCUAGCCUGGCACUCCUGGUUUCGUGCUGGAGGAGCAGGACCUACGGGUGCCAGUGCCAGUACGGGUGCCAGUGCCCCAGCCUCGCCUCCCCUGCAGCUCCCUCCUGGGCCAGGCCGAACACCAUCGUUUCACAGUCCACUUACUGAGCUGAGAAGACCUCCUCGUAUGAAGAUCUGGGAAGGCCUGAGCUUUCACCGGCCUGCAAGCUCACGGGCGAGCCUGCCAUGGUUGAAGGACGCUGGCAGAAGACCAGAGACCCUGGCCCAGGGCAGAGGACUCUGUCACUCACGGCACGGCACGUUGCUCAGUGUGAACGAGCUUCCUCUUCACUCCCGUUUCCUUUGCUCCCCAAACCCCACGGGGGCUACGCAGAGGCCCAGGUGGAUUCUGUGGCACAGCUGGGUUUGCCUCACCGCCGGGGAUCCCCGUGCUUAGGAAACGCCGGACUGUCAUGAGGGGCUGCGAAGCAAACCUGCCCAACCUUUCCCGGGGGUGGACGUCGUCUUUGUUACACUGGACAGCGAGCAAAUCUCGCUUCUGCCCCAGAGGGAGACGCUGUCCCUGCGCGCCGAGACUUUCACUAUAUACACGUCCUUGACGAGAGUCCAGAGCAAAAGGCCGUCGGCGCAUCUGCUCCUGAGACUUGCAGAAACGUGGGGAACCAGUGAAAAAUUGUCUCCGACAUCCGAGACCCAGAGGAAGCCCAGGCCAACGGGCGCAGGGUGCUGGCUUUUCCGCUGCCUUAGGUUUCACCGCGGGUGCCGUCUAGCCCCGUCCCCCACGUCUCCGUGGCCAGCACAGGGCCCGAAAUGAGACCGCUCAUAAAUAACUGAAAAAAUCACACUUACCUCAGAUUGUACCCUACUAUGUCAAUCAUGUUGGAACAAAUUAGCGUUUCUGAAACAAGAGUUAUGGCAGAAGUGACUGCGAUGUUCCGAUGUUUCUAGGUGUUGGCACGGAUACUGUUCGGUCCCAACCCCAGGAGGGACAGAGGACGAAGCAGAAAUGCCUUGUGGGAUGUGCAGCCCAAGAAGCCACAGGCAGGACAUGGGAGCCGGAGGCGGCACGAGAGCGUCACCCGCACCAAAGGAUUCUCGGGGUCUCGGGACUUGGGAGCCGGAGGCGGCACGAGAGCGUCACCCGCAUCAAAAGAUUCUCGGGGUCUCGGGACUUGGGAGCCGGAGGCGGCACGAGAGCGUCACCCGCAUCAAAAGAUUCUCGGGGUCUCGGGACUUGGGAGCCGGAGGUGGCACAAGAGCGUCACCCCCACCGAAGGAUUCUUGGGGUCUUGGGAGAACCUUGUACUUGACGAGGGAGGCGGAACGGGCUUGAUCCAUUCUUAUGUCUAGGCCCCAUGGAAAGAAUGACUCCAGUUGGCAUUUGUGUUGUAUGUUUGUAUACACACACACACACACACACACACGUACAUAUGGAUCUGUGUGUGAUCUGGUCCAUUGGUCUAUGUUGGUUUUACGAGUCUAACUCUCGGAAUCCUAGUGAUACCUUAUUGUUAUCCUUGUUACCAUCAUAAAAGGGACCUCAGGGUCCAGUGAUGUAGUGUGUAGUUAUGUAUACUGCUUUAGAAACAUGAAGAAACUCAGGUCUGGGCCAGGCACAGUGGCUCACACCUGUAAUCCCAGCACUUU
Molecule: long non-coding RNA, 1976 nt
Filed under: Homo sapiens (human)
Lineage: Eukaryota; Metazoa; Chordata; Mammalia; Primates; Hominidae
Description: HSALNT0067238
Source: RNAcentral